AGAAUGACUUUCUACAAGUUCACAUGUGAGAUGCUCACCCAGCUAUGGGUGCAGGAAUUUGAAGACGAAAGAUGCCUCCACAAGCAUGAACCCAAAGCACCACUAUGGAGGAGGCAGAACAGGAAGAGGACACUGAAGCAACCUCCCGGGCUGCCUGUAAGUCUCCUCCUACCCUCCUUCUUUGGCAGUAUUGGAAAUGGAACCCAGGGCUUUGCCCAAGCUAGAUAAACACUCUAUCACCGAGGUACACCCAUGGCCCUCCUGUAAGACUGGAAAAGAUUGUGCCUUAUAAACUUGUGCUUCAGUGGUGGUGAGACAUCAUUAAAUCUGAGCCAUGGAAAGGCUCUGAAUCAGAACAAAGAUCACCCAAGAGCAUUCCUAAAGUGCUGCCUGGUAUGGUGGUAUAGCACUUGAGAAGCUGAGGCAGGAGGAUAGCCUCAAUCUACAUAGUGAGUUCAAGACCAGCUUGAACUACAUAGUGAGACUCUGUCUUAAAAACACCAAAGAAAAAAUUUAUAAAAAGAACAUUCCAGAAGAAGUGGUCACCAAGAGGCAUGCUAUGCAUGAGGCUCCCACAGUGAGUCCAGCUGCCAGCACUAACUCCACACUGAAUCACCUCCACCUCCUGGUCUGGCAAAGGCCAAACCACGGUCACCUCCCAGUUAGGGAUGGAAGCUCUGGAGUAAGGGACUUGUUGGUGCUACUGGGCAGCGUGUAUGCCAGGAAAGGAUCAAAGAAAUCAGACCUAGUCAGUGGUAGGUUACAAAGAAAGAGCCAACACUUCCCAGGAGAGGAAUCACAAUCCAGCAGGAGCCACACUCAAGAGAAAAGACCACAGAAACGGGAGAAAAAUGGAGGGCUUUGGUGGUGAACCUGCAGUGUGAUGAUGCAGUUCCAAAGUUUCACCAUCACUGACUCAGGAGGUAGAUGUAGGAAGUAGGCGCUCAGCCUGUUGCUGGAGUCUUUAGAGGAAGAAGCCCUUUCCUCUUGAUGGCCAUAAACCCUGGCUGCUGUGGCAUGGGGACUGGCAUGAGCAGCAGGGAACAGAAGUUGGUAGCUUGGCUCUCCUAAGGAGGGACCUGGCACCUAAUAAGGCCAAGCUCACUGCCUGCUGCCUACACCUCAACUCAUCCCCCAGCCCUGAAGCUCCACUUUUAACCACCUUCAAGAAUGUUCCCAGCUCAGAAGCUCAUUUCUACCCUCUAUGUAGUUCCACCCUUCUUUCAGGCCAGCAGAGGAAACAGUGCUCAGGCCCAGGCAUGGCAAGGUGUGUGGGGUGCCACACACCUUAUCACUCUUUCCAAAUAUGUGCGCUGAGGACUUACUAUUUACGAAAGGCCCCGCCCAGGGAACUGACCUUCCAACAGGAGACAAACCACAUACCUAAAGCAAAUGUCCUGUGCAGCAGGCACAGGAAGUGACAUAUGAACCACAUGAGAACAAAUCAUGCCAAGAUCUGGAGGGAGAAGGCUGGAGACAGAUCCAAGAUGGCGAGCAGAAGUGCCAGCCUCAAGGCCUCAUGCAAUGCUACUUGCACUUUGUGAAACCCUUCACCAAACUGGAGGCCACAUCUGCCUCCUCUGAUGUUCUCCAAUUUUUCUGUACGCUCAGUCCAGCCUUCACCCGAGCACUGAAUCCAUGUAACGACUCCAUACCAGGGACAGGGGAAAGACAGGGCCCACUGCCCUCCUUCUAGUGAAGGCAAAGGUGACAAGGAAACCAGGGAAAUUUCUGGCAUGUGCACAGCACACAGCUGAAGGAAGUGAAACGGGAAUCCAGGAAGGUGACCUCAGAGCAGAGGUGAAGGCUGAGGAGCCACCUGCUUGACUAGAAGUGUGUUCCAGGAGAGGGAGCAGCAAGGGGAAGGGCUCUGAAGAGGAACCAGCUUGCAAGUUUGAGGAAGAGAAAGAUGGCUGAGAGCGGCGGUGAACAGGUGUGGUGAGUGUGGUAAGCAGGAGGGGCAGUAGAGCAAGGAGCCUGGGCUUUAUUUAACGUGCAACAGGAAGCCACCGCAGUUCUGGGCAGGGAAGUGAGAUGGUCCAGAUACUGCUCAGUUAAUGACUGGGGACCUGCCAAACGCUCUGCUGAGUAACUACAUCCAAUAACUGUGGCAAAGAGGAGCAGGCCAGGGGCCAAAUCAGAAUCCCACAGAGCUACAGGAGGCUGGGGGUGAUGAGGGCAGCAUGGCUGUCAGGCAAUGAGUAUAGUAAGAGAGCUCAGCAUCCUCAGGGGGAGACAGCAGGUCAGCCCCAGCCUGGGUGGCAGGAGGAAGCCUGCACUGCCAGCUGGUUGUGGGGCAUCCUCCUGGAACCAGCGACAGUUCCUGAGAAGACUGAGAUGCCAUGGAGGUACAGAGGAGACAAGAACGCAGCCAAAGGGAGGUGGCUGUGGCUGAUGACAGCAGCAUAGCCUAGCUGGGCAACAGGAAAAGGCCCCACAAAAACCCACUACAGGGGCAGGGGCAGGAGAGAAGGCCUGGGUGCUGGCCACGGGGUGGUCCCUCCACAGCUCCACCUCUCAGAUCCCUUUUCUAUUCCCCAGGGUUGGUCACUCCAUCUUACUCAGCAUAUUUCUCAGAAAUGAAAGUGCUAAAAACUGGUCAGCGCAAACAAUUUAACCAAUGGGAAAAUGAAAGAAAAUUACCAUAUAAAGCCAUGCAUGCUGCAGAGAGUUGAUCUGUGUAGGGGCUGCCAGGGUUACCCCCAGAAACUUAGAUCCACACUCCUGCUACUGCAAGCUCCAAUAGCUGCAUGGAAAGAGAAAGCGACGUCCUGACAACCAUAUUGGCAGUGAAGCAGGGACCCAGCACUCUGGGCUUUUUGUCAGCCUCCAGCGCAAGCUCCUGUCCCCAGCCCGGGACCUGGACGCCAGCAAAGGCCCUUCUGGGUGAGGGGCUGCAGAGGUCCCUUUCUCCAGGGAAGUCGGGGCCGGCAGGCACCAGCGAGCCGAGUAUCCUACCCGGAGCCCCGCCAGGCGGCGCGCGGCGACCAGGGAGGGUCACGGCACCUCGCUGGCGCAGGGAGAGAAGGUGGGGAGCCCGACGCCCCCUGCACCCGCUCCUCCUACGCCCCCAAUAUUCCCUGCCCGCGGCCCACCAGUCAGUUGGGGACUUCUCGUCGACCACCAGCCCGUAGGCCUCCUGCAGUGCCGGCCCGUUCCGGCUCAGGUUCGCCGCCAUGGUCCGUCCCGCGGUCCCCAGCAGUAGCUGCCGCAGCUUUCCGACCAGCCACCCCCGACAGCCGGAAGCCCCGCCCAGUGGCCGGAAGCCUCGCCUCUGUCGAUCGGAAGCCCCGCCUCGGAGGCCGGAAGCGGAAGUGGAGGCGGGGGCAGUCAGUGAGUUCGGUUAAAGCACUUCUUCGAGAGUUCUCAGAUUCACGAGGCCUCCGGACGGGAUUCACCGAGCGUGUUUUGGAUCAUCAGAAUUCUGAUCUAUGCGUACAUCAACGAAUACGUGAAUAAAUGUUAGGUGACGAUUGCA
This is a long non-coding RNA of Cavia porcellus (domestic guinea pig), 3478 nucleotides long. RefSeq lists it as uncharacterized. The transcript has 3 exons. The record is from RefSeq and is a predicted model, not a curated record. NCBI's taxonomy places the organism in Eukaryota, Metazoa, Chordata, Mammalia, Rodentia, Caviidae.